UACGGAGGGUGCAAGCGUUAUCCGGAUUUAUUGGGUUUAAAGGGUGCGCAGGUUGUUUGAUAAGUCAGUGGUGAAAGUCUGUCGCUUAACGGUAGGAUUGCCAUUGAUACUGUUGGACUUGAAUAUGGAUGAGGUAGGCGGAAUGUGUAGUGUAGCGGUGAAAUGCGUAGAUAUCGGGAGGAACACCGGUGGCGAAGGCAGGUCUCUGGGCCACUACUGACGCUGAGAAGCGAAAGCAUGGGGAGCGAACAGGAUUAGAUACCCG
Molecule: ribosomal RNA, 265 nt
Filed under: uncultured prokaryote
Description: partial 16S ribosomal RNA
Rfam family: Bacterial small subunit ribosomal RNA
Source: RNAcentral